UACGGAGGGUGCAAGCGUUAUCCGGAUUCACUGGGUUUAAAGGGUUCGUAGGUGGUCAAUUAAGUCAGUGUUGAAAUCUCCGGGCUUAACCCGGAAACUGCCAUUGAUACUAUUUGUCUUGAAUACUGUGGAGGUCAGCGGAAUAUGUCAUGUAGCGGUGAAAUGCUUAGAUAUGACAUAGAACACCAAUUGCGAAGGCAGCUGGCUACACAAAUAUUGACACUGAGGCACGAAAGCGUGGGGAUCAAACAGG
RNAcentral lists this ribosomal RNA (253 nucleotides) under uncultured bacterium. RNAcentral describes it as "partial 16S ribosomal RNA". It matches the Rfam family "Bacterial small subunit ribosomal RNA", at positions 524 to 776 of the family's 1533-position model. The record is from RNAcentral.